Molecule: ribosomal RNA, 253 nt
Filed under: uncultured bacterium
Lineage: Bacteria
Description: partial 16S ribosomal RNA
Rfam family: Bacterial small subunit ribosomal RNA
Source: RNAcentral
UACAGAGGUCCCAAGCGUUGUUCGGAUUCACUGGGCGUAAAGGGUGCGUAGGCGGCGCGGUAAGUCGGGUGUGAAAUCUCGGAGCUUAACUCCGAAACUGCAUUCGAUACUGCCGUGCUUGAGGACUGGAGAGGAGACUGGAAUUUACGGUGUAGCGGUGAAAUGCGUAGAUAUCGUGAGGAAUACCAGAGGCGAAGGCGGCUACCUGGACAAUUGCUGACGCUCAGGCACGAAAGCGUGGGGAGCAAAAGGG